UAGGAGGCAGCAGUGGGGAAUUUUGGACAAUGGGGGAAACCCUGAUCCAGCCAUUCCGCGUGAGUGAAGAAGGCCUUCGGGUUGUAAAGCUCUUUUGUCCGGAGCGAAAAGGUUACGGUGAACAUCCGUGACUACUGACGGUACCGGAAGAAUAAGCACCGGCUAACUACGUGCCAGCAGCCGCGGUAAUACGUAGGGUGCGAGCGUUAAUCGGAAUUACUGGGCGUAAAGCGUGCGCAGGCGGUUUUGUAAGCCAGAUGUGAAAUCCCCGGGCUUAACCUGGGAAUGGCAUUUGGGACUGCAAGGCUUGAGUGCGGCAGAGGAGACUGGAAUUCCUGGUGUAGCAGUGAAAUGCGUAGAUAUCAGGAGGAAUACCGAUGGCGAAGGCAGGUCUCUGGGCUGACACUGACGCUCAUGCACGAAAGCGUGGGGAGCAAACAGGAUUAGAUACCCCUGUAGUCCC
RNAcentral lists this ribosomal RNA (463 nucleotides) under uncultured bacterium. RNAcentral's name for it is "bacterial SSU rRNA". It matches the Rfam family "Bacterial small subunit ribosomal RNA", at positions 342 to 797 of the family's 1533-position model. The record is from RNAcentral.